This 389-nucleotide long non-coding RNA is filed under the name Amborella trichopoda. Its description in RNAcentral is "long non-coding RNA (ATRI_LNC002362)". The record is from RNAcentral. Lineage: Eukaryota; Viridiplantae; Streptophyta; Magnoliopsida; Amborellales; Amborellaceae.
AAUACCAAAAAAAAGAAGACAGCGUUGGAUCAAGGGUAUCAUACUAAAAAUAUUAGGAAAGUAUCCCUACAAAAUUUAUUUUAGAGAUUUCUAUAAUUUUCCCUUGAAUAUCGGUGGGGCAACUGUACGGUAGAGUGCACAAGGGGUAAAGUUUGGUUUUCUUGAAUGGGCAAACAAAAGGUGUUCGUAUGGGUUUCUAAGAUGACAUAGAGAGAGAAACAAGUUAAAAACAAAAAAAAAGGCAAUGAAUAGGGAGAGAGAAGUGAUUAAGAUGUCAGGUAGGGUCGUGGAAAUUUAUGUCAUGUAAUGUUGUAACCCGAAGAAAAAGAAAUAAGCUUUGAAGAGGUAGGGCCAAUUUGUACAUAGAGUUCAAAAAGGGGAACGAAAUG